Molecule: ribosomal RNA, 436 nt
Filed under: uncultured bacterium
Lineage: Bacteria
Description: bacterial SSU rRNA
Rfam family: Bacterial small subunit ribosomal RNA
Source: RNAcentral
AUGGGAACGCGAAGAACCUUACCUAGACUUGACAUCUCCUGAAUAGUGUAGAGAUACAUGAAGCCCUUCGGGGCAGGAGGACAGGUGGUGCAUGGUUGUCGUCAGCUCGUGUCGUGAGAUGUUGGGUUAAGUCCCGCAACGAGCGCAACCCUUAUUACUAGUUGCUACCAUUAAGUUGAGCACUCUAGUGAGACUGCCCGGGUUAACCGGGAGGAAGGCGGGGAUGACGUCAAAUCAUCAUGCCCCUUAUGUCUAGGGCAACACACGUGCUACAAUGGUGAGUACAGAUAGAUGCGAUACCGCAAGGUGGAGCCAAACUCUAAAACUCAUCCCAGUUCGGAUUGUAGGCUGCAACUCGCCUACAUGAAGUUGGAGUUGCUAGUAAUCGCGAAUCAGAAUGUCGCGGUGAAUACGUUCCCGGGUCUUGUACACACCG